AAGACCUUCUGUACUCCAAGUCACACACAAAAUCCUACUGAUAUCUCACUUGCAUAAUAAUUUGGAACGCAGUGUAGUAGAACGUGAACUCAGCCACAAAAAUCCACCGCCCCCUGCCAUCAGCUUCCGCGUCUCUCACACACGAGCGCGACUUUAGAGGUAUAUUUAACAACUUUCAGACCCUUUUAGCGGCUUUUUUUCCAUAGAAUAUUCAUACUGACAAACCUAGCGACUUUUGGAUAAACCUUAGCUAUGGUUCAGUUGGAAGAUGUCGCUAGUUACUGCCCCGCGGGCGUGAGGUCUGACUCUCUCGGCGUCUCUUCUGUGCAGUGAGCGGCAGAAAAGCAGCACAUUCAGCUGGCCAUACUGCAGCAGACUCGUCAAUAAAUAAAACAGCGUGUCCAAGCACCUGACGCUUACUGACUGUUCGGAAUUAUAAAUAUGAGCAUAGUUCGUCUGUUAAUAUUAUGCACUUUUUUGUUUGUUGUUUUUUUUUUUUUAGUUUGUUAUUCAGACGCAGACAGUGCGCUGCACAAGACAAAAAAGUAAUAUAGCCAACACCUCCGCAUAGCUGCUCUAUAGUGUAGAUGCAUGUUGAUUUUAUCAGACGAUGUCGCGAUUAUAAAUGAGAGUGACUCCUGGUUAACAUGUAUUAAUGGGUCGUGUUUAGUCACUAUUUAGUGUGGAAUUUUUCUACAAUAUUCGCUCAUCAUGACAGUAAAAUAGGGCAUUCUAAUUAAAUCUACUGCAGUAUUUCCUCUCUCAAUCAGUAGAAAAUGUGGUUAACAACUGGUCAUGCAUGAAAAAAAUAAAUAUCGUCAUACACCGUGAAACCAGUAUAAUUUUGAAAAAUACCAUGAUAUAAAUUUUUGGUCAUACUGCCCAGCACUAUAAUAUAGCCUCACUAGACAGCCACUCCUGAAACAAUCCCAUUCAAUGGCUGGUAAUCAAGGAAAAUUAUGUGGGUAAGGGACUUACUACCCGCCAUCUAAAAGAGAUGGCUCUGAUCAAGCAUCACAUAUUGAUGUACACUGCAGCAGUAAUUUUGCACACCUAUCACUACAACCCUUAAAACAAAGUAAAAACAGUGAUUAUUUACAGAGAGAGACAUCGGAUGUCAGAUGCUAGAACAAAUGCUAACAUUUGCAUACACCCAGGGGCGUAAAUUUCGUAAAUGUUACAGAAUUUUACUGUUUAAACAUUUUACAAGAUGUAGCUGUAAUUCGCAAUGCAUUAUGGGUCAAAUAAGGUUUUACAGUUGUUAACUGUAUAUUUCCAUGUCAACUGUAAUUAAUUUACAAGAAGCAGGUGUUAUCACUGUAGCUCCUGCUUUUUACACUACUUUACUGUAGUGUGGCAUUAUGGGAUUGCGCGCGCAUCAUUCAAAUCUGAAAUCCAGCGACUGGAGCAGUGCCAGAACGAUUGAAGAUUAGAGGCUUUAUUCAUAAUUCCUGGUGCAAAGAAUAGCAGCUGAUGUGGAGAAAUGUUUGAUGCUUCAAGACUCUCUGAAGCUGAUUAUAUUAGGUGCACCCAGUGGCUUUUGACUAGGCCUAUUCGAGGGUCACACGGUUGUGAAUUCAUACCUCAACUUUGCGGCUGGAUUUUCAAUCUUAUUACAACUUCAGCCUGGCGUCCCGGGAGCAGGCGUCUUUUGCACACUUGAAUUAAUUUCAAAGGUAACAUGUUUUACUUGAGUAAUUUCAUUUGUGAAAAAGGUUACUUAUUUAGUUUAAGUACUGGUAAAUGCUGAUUGUAUUGUAUAAGUGGCAUUUUUACAUUUAUUUUAUUGAGCUAGUUUCAUUCAAUACUGAACUUUAUUCUAAAGCUUCUGCUUGUUUUUAUGUGCAGAUGUUUUGUUGGAAUCACAACACUCACUGGAUACAAGACGGAUGUACAGAGGCAAAACAAGUGGAAAGGUCUCAGAGAAGAGGGACAACCCUCAUGUGUGUGCUCAUCUCAGAAAGUUGAUGGACUUUCAGUAUGUAUUUAUUAAAUUGUCUUUUGCAGGAAUAUUCUAAAUUUAAUAUAACAUAAGCUCAAACAACAGAAUUUGUGGUAUAAUGUUGAUUCCAGCAUUUUAUUUUAAUCCUUUAACCAAAAUUAUACAAAUUCUGUUGAUUGAUCUUAAUUUUUUUAUAGAAAGUAAAUGUUCUACUCAGAAUAUGGCUUAUUUUUUGUGAUAUAACAGUUAUUUGUAGUUAUUUUGUGAUGCUAUGUUAUUUUUAUGAUAAGAACUGUUGAAAGACUGACAUUUUUAUUUUUACCAGUAAAAGCCUUGCAGUGUCUUUCUGCCAGUUUUAAUAAAUAUUUAUUUGCAACAUCUUUGACUUGGUUUUUAUUCAUUUGUAAAUGUAUUAAGAUAGUUCUCAUGAUAAUUCAUUUAAAUCAGUAUUUUACAGUUUACUGUUAAAAUUAUUCUUUGCAGCAUUUUCAUUGUUAAAUUAUUACAACAUCAUCUUGGAUUGGUUACGUACCUAAGGUGCUCUCAACUCAACGUUUAAGAGACCAGGUUAUCACCCAACUAGCACUCCCCGCUGCAGACGCUGAGCAGGGUCCCAAUCCACUCUGCCCAGUAAAGGCCCUUAGAGUGUGUGUCAAGCAUUCUAGUCUGUUUAGACAAUCAGAGAAGCUCUUUCCAUGCUUUGGAGGCCGUUCAAAAGGGCUGCCAGUUAUGAAGCAGAGACUUUCUCACUGGAUUGUAGAUGCUGUAGCCCUGGCUUACGCCUCAGUUCACUUGCAGUGCCCCAUAGGUGUGAGGGGACCACUCCACUAGAGGAAUGAUUUCCUCCUGGGCGUGGUCCAGCAGAAUUUCUAUCAGUGUGAUAAGUGCGCGGUCGCUGAUUGGUCGUUGUUGUCCACCCUUGCCAUAUUCUAUGACUUAGAUGUUCCUGCCCUGCAGGCACGGAUUUUGUCUGCUUAAUUCUACCCAUUUUCCCCUUGAGAGUGGAAAAGGUUAUGUCUUGUGGUCCUCAGCCUAUUGGCUUGGGUCUCAACUUUGCUCAUGCUUUGUAGGAGUCAUUGAAACGAGUGCUCCAAGGCUGGGCUUGCAGAGCAGGCUUCAUUCUGCUCAUAGCACGGUGCUAUUGGAUGUGUUCACAAUAGGCAUGGGACGAUAACCGGUUUCAAGGUAUACCGCGGUUUGGAAAAUUCACUGUUUCAAAACCACUAAAAUUUUCCGUUAUACCGUUCCUGCGGUAUGCACAGUUUUUUACGUGUCGUCAAAGACGGAAAGUGCAGGACUCCCUCAGUUGUGAGCAGUGAAGAGCAUAACGAGUCGCACGACCCCUCCUCCUUUGGUUGGUGCGAGCAAUCAGUGAGAGUAACCUGUGUGCAGGAAGAUGGCCAAUGGAGGUGAAUCCCUGGAACUUUUUCCCCCAUCGAAAAAGAUGAAGUCUGCCGUAUGGGAAUUUUUCAGGUAACGUAGACUGAUGUUCCGUAAAGAUGACGUUUUAGCGCCGAUCGCUAAAUAAAUACUUCCAGGUCAUACACAAACGAUAUAUCUGUGUCGUCUUCAUUUCUCCCUCUUUCACCCUCGAUCAAGACAGAGGCCCAUUCGCCAGUUGUUUCAGUGUUGAAAUAAAUACUAUUUGGCUUGCUUCCAAGGCAGAUAACAUGGCUAAUUAACUAGCUAGACUAAAGUACUACAUUUCUACAAUUUAGUACAAUAAUUAAAUUUAGCUGGUAUCACAUCUAUAAUUUUAAGCCCCCUGCCAUUGUUUACAUCAGUUCAAACUUAGGUCAUUUAAAAAACAAACAAACUGCUGGCUCUCAGGUGUCUUUGCCAUUGUUUGAGUGUUAUACGGAGAGAGACCGUGUCUCCUUAUGUGUAUGUGCACACAUCUUUGUACCUCACCGCUCAUAACUUGGACUGAAAGAUGAAUGUGUAGAAAGUGAGCAUGUCUCCAAAAACCUUGUUGAGCUGCAGGUUUAAUGACUGCAUUUUUUUUUUUUUACAUAAAUUAUGUUUUGAUUUAUGUUUUUGAUUAUUGAGCUGUAGGUUUAGGUUAAGUGACUGCAUUUUUUUUUUUUUCAUUUAAAAGGUUUUUUUUUUUACAGAAAAUAAUUUGUUCUGAUUAUUGUUGAGCUGCAGGUUUAGGCUCACUUAUGCUGGGUACACACUAAAAGAUUUUUAAAAUCUUAUAAGACCUUCAAAAUGUGAGAGACCACAAACAUGAGGACAAAAAAAUCCUAGAUUUAACCGUUUGGCUCCUAUAGUGUGUGGUGUGCUGCAAUGUGAUAAAGACAGCACACCACACACCAACAGAUUUUCAACCAGAGUCCCGACUGUGUACAUGGGAAAUCUCUCAAAAUCUCUGGAGACUUGAGAAUAAACUAUUUAAUUUUUUUUAAUUGCAAUUUUAGAACAAAGAACAUACAAGGGCAAUAACAUAAAUUACAUCAAAUACAAUAAUAAACAAAAAACAAUUAUAAAUAAAUAAAAUAAAAUAAAAAAGGAAAAGCAAUAAGAAAAUUACAUUUCCUUAAACAAGUAUAAAUAAUUACAAAUUAUUCAAAGAAUAGAUUUAAGGCUUUAAAGUCCCAGUCUUUGGUAAUGGCAGGAAGAAAAUCCUUUUGUGCUGCGAAAUGACUGCGUUUGUUAUGCUUCCGUCUUCUGUCAGCUCACUUUCUGAUUGGGUAUUGUUUCGUUUCACGUGAUAAUCUUUAUCACAUGUGUGGGGUUCCCCCCACACAUCAGGAUAUCUGAUCGUAAAUAUUCAACAUGUUCAAUUAUUUAUUUUAAUUAUUUAACCUGACAUUUUUACUGUUCCAAAAUGUUCUAUGUGUUUCUUAAAAAUAAAAUGUUGUUCAGUGGAAAAAACGUUUUUUACCCAGACAUUUAAAAAUAAAAUAUUUUAGAGCUGUAAUCGCAAUACAGUGAAACCGUGAUAUUUUUAUCUAAGGUUAUCAUACCGUCAGAAUCUCAUACCAGACCAUGCCUAGUUCACAACAUGCGUCCUUCACUCAACAGGAAAGAGUUGACAUAAAAGCUGCUUGUGAUAGGCUUUGGUUCAUCAUGUGACUCUCAUCACCACCUGCAUUUGGUGGUUAUCAGUGUAUUUCAAAGGUACAAAACAGAUUUCAGUACUUCAAUAGGUUGGUAUAUUAACAUUAUCAGUUAAUGAAAUUACGGUAUUUAAGUUAAAACCGUAAAACCUAAAACGUCGCUACCUUAUAUUUUACGGUAGAAUUCCGGCAACCACAGCUGCCGGUUUUUUUUUACCGUAAAUUUUACGGAAUUUUUUUUACAGUGUCACUGCCUAUAUGAAAAACUAAAACUAAACGAAACUAACAACAGUAACUGAAAAACUAACGAAAAUAAAAUAAUAAUUAGCAAAAAUAAAUAAUCGUGUUCGUGAUUUUAAUAAGCUCUCAUUCUGUGCCAGAAAAUCGGACCUGUGGUGGUUUAGGGAAACAGAUGGCGCUUCAUGCACGUGAGCUGCGUCCUAAGUGGCUAUUCACAGAGAAUGCGUUUUUGCAUUUACAAAACAAGACGCGGGCUGCGAAAUGGGAAAUAAAUAACUAUAAAAUAUGAAAUGGGAAAUAAUAAUAAUGCACAUCUUACAGCGCACGAAUGUUUAAAAGCGUGCUUGACGUGCGAGAACAACAUGAGAGUGAGUUAACAGACACAGAAUUAAAAGUUUUGGAUGAGCUGACUUUAGUGAAUAGUCAUUUUGUCCCGCUUUGCGAUUACUAUGGUAACGUCCGCCUCGAGUCCAUGACACGAGCACCGCCUUGACUGUAUAAAACGCAUCCAAAACGAGAGAAAGCGAUAGCCGCGCUGUGUUUUCACCGCUGGCCGUGUUGUGUAAAAGGGACUUUAGAACUGGGAUUGAUUGCGUUGCUCAUCUGAAGCGCGUACGCGCUGGAGCGGCUAGUCAAAGUAAAGUGCAAACAUCAUUUAAAUCACCAUAUCGCAUUUAUUUUUGAGUAGUAUGAGUCUUCUUAUUGUGUACGUUUAUUGAGGGAGACGGGACAUACAGUAGUGUGCACCGGUGGCUCGUAUGUGCAAAAAAUUCAACAAAUGAAUGCAUUGAAAACACAGAUGGACAAAAAUAAAGUUUCAAUGACGACUGCAAAGAACAUGCCUGCGUCCCAAUGUGCACACUGUCCAUGCUAAAUUCUAUCUGAUAUUACUCAUUUUUAAUACUAUUUAGGGCAGAUAGGGUGGAUAGUAUGCACAUUGGGACGCAGGGCAUGUUUCCUCAAAUCCAGCACCGGAGGGCCAUUACUGUCCUGCAGAAUUUAGCUCCAACCCUGAUAAAAACUCAACUGGCUGAUGCGGUCUAGUAACUCUGAAAACUUUGAUUUGAUAACUAUUGGCAUAUUAAACAAGAUUACAUAUUUAAUAUGAAUGAAUAUGAACAUGAAUAUGAAUUAAUAAAUUGUAUACAUAUAAGUUGCGUAUUAUUUUUUUUUUUUUUUUUGUUGAAUUGUAAAGAAUUAUUUUAUUUUCAUUAUUAAGAGGUUUGCACAAGAGUUAACUGUAAACUGCAAACAUUCAACUUUGCUAAAAUUAAAUGUCUUGGUUUGUAAGUGUUCCAUUAAAGCUAUAAUUAUAUAAAACUAUAAUGUUAAACUAUAAUUACUAAAACUAAAACUGAAACUAAAAUAUAUAAAAACUAAAUAGAAAUGUAUUGACAAAAUAAAAACUAAACUAAAACUAACAAAACCAUUAAUGAAACGAACUAAAACUAAACUGAAAUUAUAGGAAAUUUGAAAACGAUAUUAAAAUAAAAACUCAUUUAAAAUUCAAAACUAUAAUAUCCUUGGUACCAGGGGCGGCGUUUGCGUAUGGCAGUUGCCAUACCCUAGCCCAGUCAGGUGCUGUGAAAAAUUAUCCAAACUUGAGUCGAUUAUAAUUCGUUUUUAUUAUUUUAAAUCAGAGAGUUUUAAAAAUAGUAAACCAAUGAUAAGCACUAAAAUAACUUGUCAGUAAAACUUCGUAACGCCAUUGGAUCAUCAAGCUCUCAGCGAGACCUCGUAACUUCACCCCGCCUCCAUUCAGACUGACGCGCCGCGCACAGCCUGGAGAAGAUGAGAUCUCUGCUUUUUCGCAAUGCAAGGGUGAAUAAAUAAUUGGUGUUUGAAUAGUACAGCGUUUUCUUUACUCAAACACUAUGUCUUUAAAGGAUAAUGUUUUUGUGUGUUUGAAGAGUGAAGAAGAAUUAGUUAUUUGCCGUCUAUAUACUUGUGUAGCCUAUCUACGUUUUAAAUAUCCUGUGCAUAAGCGCUUAAUUUGAGAUUUUGGCCAAGUGUAUUAAACAACAAGAAAAAACUAAGCGCCCAUAUAGCUACAAUCAAAGUUAUAUAACCUGUAAAAGUUGAUGAAAGCAUAUAAUGCAAUGCACUUGCUGCUUCAGAUAACAGUUACAGCCGUUCAAAUGACAGACAAAACACUCCAUCUCCGUCAUUCUCUGGUCAAAAACACUGUUAACUCCAUUUGAGCUUGAGUUGUAUCUAUACUCUUAUCAUCAAAUCUCUCUGACGAUACAUCAUUGUAUCGAUGUGUCAACACAGUACUAUUAAAAAUACACAAAUAAAACAUGUUUAUUAUGUGGCACAAGUUUGUUAUUCUGUGGCAAAAUUAUUUGGUGCCUAUUUUUGUUUCUUAUAGGAGACCAUGCCUCCUUGAGUGUUUUUUUUUUUUUUUAUCCUGACCAGGAUAACAGCAGAUUGCAGCCUUUGAUAUGGACCAUCUCCCCUUGAUUAUUAACCAAUGAAUGGGGUUGCUGCCAAGUGUUUGUUUCAUCAUUUAAGCCAAUAUUUACCUGUAUGAAGAGGACAAUGAGCACAUUUUUUGCUGCAGCUCUCAAGACAAAAUGUCGCCCACACUUGUCAAAGUAGCUCAGAGAUAAAAUAUGUGAAUCAUCAUAUAUUAGGAACAGUGUCCAGGAACUGCUGCAUGGAUAUCACUGUUUUUCCUUUUCCUUUUGUAUCUGUAUGUUUGUUAAAUUGUGCUUGACAAAGACAAAAUGCUAGUUCGAAAAAAAAAAAAAAAAAGACAAUCAUCUUUAACACAGUAACUUUUCUCGCUUUCUGUGAUAUUUGGCAUUUCUUAUUUACAUCAUUAUACAAAUAUUAUUUAAGUAAUUGGGGAUUAGAUCUGAAAAACCAAACCUACAAAAAAGUUUUUUAGGGUAAUGAAUAAAAAUGUUACACACAUAGCAAUAGCACUUAAGAAAAGCUACUUAUUACACAUGGUGUUAGGUUAGACGCAUGUUCAAGCUGCGCGGCCGCGCAGAAGAAAUAUUGUUCCGCGGCAGCCGUGCGCACCCAAAAAAAUUAAUUUGGAAGUAAUUUGAUUGAAUUCUAGAAAAAGCGAAAGAAUAGCAAUACUCGGGCAAACCGCUAUAGAGCUGGUGCCGCAAUAGAGUUAGAAACGGUGAAUGCGGUUUACAGGUUUUAUAUAAAGAAGAUGAUGUGCGCCAAAUGAGUCGCUGUAGAAACCGAAUACUUCAAUGGUUGCGGACGAAAGAGCUCAAAUCGAGAGCCAACGUCCUCAUGUAUUAAAGAAGAGUGGCUUGAUUAAGUGCUGGAAAUAGCGGAGGAUGGGCACAGAACGGUAACAAAACUCUGAGACAUUUACAGUCACACACAGGUGUAUUGUGCAAACUGUACUUCAUAGCGAUGUUUAGAUAACUAUAUAAGAAUUCACGUUCACGGUUUUUGAAAAUAUUUAACUUACAGAUCUCAGUUUAAGUUUUGCUUCAGUUUUCUAUUCUAUUCUAUCAGUUUAAAUGCUUUAGUUUGCUUUGAUAUAUUAUGUUAGGCCUAUAUUAUAAAUAAAUAAUUGACCUUGUUUUUAAUGGAGUCUCUUGCUCAUCAAGGCUGUAUUUAUUUCAAAAAUACAAAAAAAAAAAGCUGAAUUUUCAGCAUCAUUACGCCAGUCUUCAGUCAUGUGAUCCUUCAGAAAUAAUUCUAAUAUGUUGAUUUAUUAUCAGUGUUGCUGAUCUAAUUUGCUGAUUUACAACAGUGAAACUGUUGUGCUGCUUAAUAUUUUUUGGAACCUGUUACGUUUUUCUUUGAUUCUUCGAUUAAUAAAAAGUUAAAAAGAACAUAAUUUAUUCAAAAUAGAAAUCUGUUCUAACAAUAUAUGUCUUUACUAUCAAUUUUAUCCAUUAAAGUCUCUUUAAAUUUCUUUAAACUUUUUUUAAAGUUUCUUUAAAAAAUAAAAAAAUUUUUUUUUUUUUUUUUUUUUACUGACCCCAAACUUUUGAAUAUUGUAACACAAAAUCUCUAUUUUGAAUAAACACUGUUCUUUUUAACUUUUUAUUUAUCAAAAAUAUCACAGGUGCCAAAAAAUAUUAAGCAGCACAACUGUUUCCAACAUUGAUUAAAAAUCAGCAUAUUAGAAUGAGUUCUGAAGGAUCAUGUGACACUGAAGACUGGAGAAAUGAUGCUGAAAAUUCAGCUUUGCUUCACAGGAAUAAAUUAUACUUUAAAGUAAAUUAAAAUAGAAAUAAUAUUUCACAAUUUAAUUUUGUGAAAUAAUAUUCAGCAUUUUAUUAUCAAAUAGAUACAGCCUUGAUGAGCAUAAGAAACUUUACUGAUCCCAAACUUUUGAACGGCAGUGUACUAUACUGUAAAAAAUGUUUUCUCAGGUAAUAUAAAUAGCACAUUAAAGUUAAAAGUUACACACUUUUUUGUGUGUGUGCACUGUACAGGGUAUAAAGAAUGCUUCUGCUCAGGUGCCCGAAAUGUCCGCCCAAUAGAGAGAGGUUUUGCUCAGCAAGAAAGAAAAAAAAAUAGAGGGAACCCUGAUUAGAGGUGCAAUUGAUUUCAAAACUAAAUGACAUACACAACCAUUUUACUAACAUAUGACUUCUAUUAAGACUCCCAGGAUAAUAAACAGGAAAAAAUCCAAAGGAAAUUUACUGGACUGUAAAAAGUGGUCUCUGUGUGAAUUUUAUUGAAUAAUUUUAAGAUGAGGAGUGUUAUCUAAUACGGUGUGCUGGUUACAAUAAGAUCCAGAACAUGUCAAAUAGGUUCUGUUCCACUGAUCUAUCUAUAAUAGAGAACGGAAUUGCUCGUGAAAGUGAAGCCGCCGCGCCGCCAUAUUGGUUUUCCCCACUAUUCCAAUACAUUCCAUUGAAUUAAUAGGAAAUCGUACGAAUUUAAUGAGAAAACGUCACCUAACAAGUCAGCGUUUUUAAAUCUGAAGUAGGCUAUCCUUGUACAUUCUUACAAUGCAAACACCCUUGGCAUGUAAACGUCAAAUUUCCCCUGCUUAUUAAAAAGUUACGUUCAUUACAGUAGCGAACAUCAGAUGAACAUGAUAAACAUCAGACGGACACGACCUCAACAUAUAUAGGCCUAUAACAAAUGACAAAAGUGCUCAUUCUGAAAUCUGAAGAUUUAUGCUUUAUAUAACAGUUAGGCUACACAUACCUUCAUUCGCCUUGUAGUUAUUCAUUGUUUAGGCCUAUGUAAUUUUGUUAUAGUGUUUUUAUUUGUACAGUAUAAGCUUAGCCUACUGCAAAUGUUUCAACAAUGAUUUCGUUAACAGCAUUCGUUUUGAAGCAGGUAAUUAUUUAAAUGGUGGUUAAAUUAAUUAUUAAUUUAGCAUAGCCUACAUAAUAUUUUAUUAAACGGUGGUUAAAUUAAUUAUUAAUCUAGCAUAUACAUAACAUUUUACAUGGAAACCGUACACAUUUGCGCGAUCUUGGAGAGCCUGAAAUAGAUGCUGCUCAAUCAGGACAUUAAAAAUAUACACAUCAUAAUUUAUUCAGAGAAAUAGCUGACUAACUUUACAUACAGUACGGAUUUAAAGACAUGAAGCUUCAUUUCCAAGAUAAUGCAUGGUAAGUUGCUUUUUAUUUCAGUACCAACAUAGAGCAAUAAAGUAACAUGCUAUUGUGUUAUUCAUUGUAUAUUCAAAUCAAUUUCUGAUACAAUACGUUCAUGUUUAAUAAUUCCUGAAUAAUUCCGUGCAUAAAGAAAUUGCAUGCCUAUAUUUUGUGUUGGAUCAGUUAACGUUACCUCUGUGUGUUGGCAGGGCGCAGCAGACACACCCACCUAAACGAUUUAAAUAUAGGCCUAUCGCUUAUCCUGCCCAAAAAUACCUUAAACAUUGGCGAUAACAUCUGAAGUAAAAAUGAAUUUACAUACACCUAACAUAAAAUCUAAUCCCGUGUGACUGAUUGGCUUCAAAUCGGGUGAUUUUAGGUCAGUGUUUUAGCUGUGACUCAAUGGUGCCCUCUGCCGGUAGUGAAUAGUAAGAUGGCGGCUCGAACACUUCCGGUGGCUUCACUGCCCGUCGGCAGUUUAGAACGCAAUGAGCGAUCCAAUCAUAAUAUAUAAAUCAGCGGUCUGUUCUCAUUUCAUGUGGGGACCAGAUCAUGAAAAACUGUUUUCAAAUUUCAAAUUAAAAAUGUUUGACGAAUCAUAUAGGCCUAUUUUAAAACUUUCAAAAAAUACUUCCCAUCCAUGGUGGCUAUUUAUUGAUGCUUAGCUGUGAAAAUGAUUUAUUGAAAUCUACAAGAUUGUGAUGCAAUGUCUAUGAGCACAUUUGCACAUUAACACCUAUUCAGUAUUCAGUAACUCUUCACCUCUGCAUAGCCUUCCAAAGAUCUCAGUGUAAGGGCUAUGACAGCAAAUCAAUACUGAGAGGAAAUGUAAUUAAAAACGGUUAAAAACGAGAAUCAUUAGCCUACCAACUGUGUGCUACAGUAUUGCAUGUAGAACCUUCAUCACUGAAGUCACUUUACAGGGGGAAAAAGUGCAUUUAGAAACAGCAAAAAACCAAAGGGUAAGUUCCUGCAAAAAAAAAAAAAGGGGGUAUAAAACUAGUUGAACAAAGCAUGGGCUCGGCACUUUAAAUUGGUCACUUCAAGAAAGGUCAUAAGCAUAUGGUUUCAUGUGGCAAGUUUGCCAUGUCAUGUGCUUCUAGGCAGCCUGUGUUGUUAACUGCAGUGAUGGACGGUGGGGAAGCACAAGUAAUUGUACACUAAACAAUGAACCUUGCUCAAAGUGUUCAAAAUGAGCCUAUAUUACAAUAUAAACAAAAUGGCAAUAUUCCAGGGGCAAGAUAAUAAACAUUAAACCCACACGUUGCAAUGGAAUACCUAGCCACUUCUCUAUAUAUCUUCGAUUGUGGGGUGCACUCUGCACUGUAUGUCUGCAUUUUUAAUAUCAUAAUUUCAGUAAUGUACAUUUCAAUAACUCAUUUCCAACCCAUUUGAUGGCCCAAUUAUCAUAAAAAGAAUCCAGAUUUCCAGAUUUGAAAAAAAAAACAAAAGAAACCUUGCAUCGAUUGAAAGCCCAGUAGACAAAAAAGCAAGCAGAUGUUUUUUUCCACAGCAAACAGUGCACAUAACACUCUCACUGACUCCUGCUGAAGCACACAGGUGGCACCUAAAACUACUUAUUUGGAUGCUACUGCCCAAUAAACACUGACUUUUGCAGCACUAACAUCAAUGGUACACGUAUCUACCAUCUACUAACAGUGAAUUUGCAGUCCUACUUAGAAGUGAAUAGCAUAAGUUUAUUUUUACCAAGUUAACUCAGAAAUAUUUUUCCUUAAAAAGAAAAAAUUCUGUCAUUAUUUAAUCAAGCUGUUGUCAUAAAGCCAUCACUCAAGUCAAAUGUGCAAUUUUUUUAAACCAUGUGAAUGAGAUUUCAGAGCUUCAACAGAGAGAAAUAUUUGAUUUUCUUUCUAUUUCUCUCACAAAGCUGUUAUACACUUUAGAGGUCAUAUGCACUAUUUUAUGGUGAUUUUUAGUGUUUGACAGCGACGGUCACUAUGAACUCAUUUUAUGGGAAGAGCUUGGAAAGAUUUUUCAAACAUUUUCAAUUUUUGUCUUGUACAGAAAGAUUAUUUUUGAAACAACAUGAGGGUGAGUAAAUAUUGAUAAAUGUGUUCAUUUUUCCUGUCAUCAUAUACUCACCCUUAUGUUGUUUCAAACAUGUAUGAUUUUUUUUUUUUUUCCUCUUUGGAACACAAAGGAACAUAUUUUUAAGAAUACUUGAGUCCAAACAACACUGGGCCCCACUGACUUCACUGCUUGAACGAACAAACAAAAUAUUUUUCAUGUUCACAGAAGUAAGCAAGUAAAAAGAGUUUGAAAGGACAUGCAAGUUGAUCAUUUAUGACAGAAUUUUCAUUGUUGAGUGAAUUAUCCCUUGAAGCAAUCAUUUGUUCUAAGCCAUGCUGGUGUGUCGUGUGCCUUAAGCACUGCAGUUCAGCACGUAAGACACACUUUAAAUGACUGCUGUAACUACACCUAAAAUAGUCAUUUGUAAAUAAAAACACUUUGUCUGAGGGUUCUCAGAUCUCUAGUGCAAUGGGGCUACAGUGAACUCUUUUAGGGUUCUCGGUACAAGCCCCAUGUUGCUACCUUGAACACUUUGUAAAGAACCUUUGCCUUGUUUAGAAUGCUGUUUGACUAGAACUGAAUUUGACCGAGGUGUACUUCAGAUUAUUACAUAACAGAGAUACAGAAAAACUCUCACAACCCCACAUCCCCUCUCUCUACCUCUUUGUCACGGUCUCUCCCACUCAUAGACACACAAAUAAAUACGAACAAAUUUGUGCCACUAACCCAGCUAUCUACCUUCAGUGGUCAUCCAGCAGUUCACAGUUUGUCUAUAUUUUUGCACCAGCCAAUCAUCAAAGUAACUGCUUAUUAAAAAUUUUUGGUAACACUUUAUUUUAGGGUCUCUUAACUAGUUGCUUAUUAGCAUGCAUAUUACUAGAAUAUUAGCCAUUUAUUAGUAGUAAUUAAGCACAUAUUAAUACCUUAUUCUAUAUGACCUUAUUCUACAUCCCUACAUCCCUUAUUCUACAUCCUACCCAAUACCUAAACUUAACAACUAGCUUACCAACUAUUAAUAAGCAGCAAAUUAGGAAUUUAUUGAGGGAAAAGUCAUAGUUAACAGUGAAUAAGUGUUCCCUAUUCUAAAGUGUUACCAAAUUUUCAAUGUUUUCAAAAGAAAAGUCACCUUAAAUUAUAGCUAGUUGUCAAGUAGACUACCAUAACCAUCACAAAAGAUUAAUAUGGUGAACUGUACAUUUAAGUACGAACAAUUCUUACUCAAAUAAAUGAAGUGUACCCUUGAACUUUGUUGUGGUAUUCACAAACCACUUUUUUGCCUAAAUGUGGCCUCAUGUUGUAAGAUUCAUGUUCAGAAGAUUUAUUAUGUGAUAUCAGGUCAAGACCAGUGUAAAGUCCCUCACACUUUGUCUCAUUAUUUAGGUCUCUGUGUGUCAGUUCCAUGUUCUGGCUGGUGUCUGAAACCAUAUUUUUCGCAAAGAUCAAGUGGUUUUGCGUCCAACUCAAACCAAAAAGAUUCAAAGGUUAAACACACAACUAAGCUCAAAUUCCUUUCAGGAAAAAAAACACACGCCGUACAAACUAAAACACAGCCUCGGACAAAAUGCUCGCUUAACUUAUGGUUCAGAUUGACGCACCAAAUUUUCAGUCAGAUUCUUUAGACAAAUGCAGAGACACACAAGUGUUUUUCUCUGUAUAGUCUUAAUUUAAGGUAAAGUUUCUUUUCAGCUUGCACAACAUUUCAUUAAUGUUCUGCUUUUGUUCCAGCCAGUGCAGGUCUAAUUGAAACCAGUUUUUUAAAACAGCCAUCCCACUGUUCAGUGAAGUCAAAUUGCAUUUAUAAUUAAAGAGUACAUUGUUAAACCACAAAUGAUGAGAGAUCAAAAUAACCAAAUAGUAAAACACAAAUGCUUAAACUGUCAGUUUAUGCAAUGCAAUUUAACUAAUGCCUAUCAAUUAAAAUGCAUAGCAUGACCGUUGGACCUGCAUGUCAGUGUAUGAAUCAAAAUGUUGCCUUUCCAUGUAUAGUUUGUUGGUGAUUAAAUGAAUGAGAACGGGAAUACAGAGAAGUUCAAGGAUAAGAGCUUUGAAGCGCUUGGCAUGGUGUCUUUGCGUUUGGACACAACUGUGUGGGGUUGCCUUGAUGGCAGUAUCCCUGGACCCAGCUACCCUGAGGGAGGAGGCUGACUAUGAGUCAGUGGAUUUUAUCUUUGGAUAAAAGCGUCUGCUAAAUGAAUAAAUGUAAAUGUGUGUUAAUGUGUACAGCUGUCUCUGUGUACUGGUUUACUUGGCUGCAGUCAUAAAGAGAGGAACUUCAAGCAAAUUAAGGCUUCCUUUAGUAAUUACAAUUUAAUUUAAUUCCUAACUAAGAAAAUGGUCUUGAAGCAACUGAUCCCAAUCCAUUAAUAGAAAACCAAUAAGGAACAUUCCUAUACAGAACUGAAACUGAACACAACCAGGGGCCAUGCGAAAGUACUGGGGUCCGUAGAGAAAACUUCUAAAACAAAGCCUUUUCUUUAAAAUAUUUCACUACAUCUCUGACUAUUUUAUUUGAACUAAUCAUCUAAUGAGCAUUAUAUAGGCCUAAUGUUUUUUGUUGUUGUUGUUUUUGUUUUUUUUUUUUUCAUACAUUAAAUGUAAGUUUUCUUAAAAUGUUAUGAAGAAAAUUUUGACUUUUUAUUCUGGGGGUCCCUGUGAUAGCUGAAUGGGAGAUCCCAGGGUCGGUACAGGUUGGAAUCCCCUUCAAAAGUAAUUGCUCUCCAAAUGAGUGCAUAUGGUCCUGUGCAUCGUUUCUUGCUAAGUGCAGUUAGGCAUUAAUUCAUCAUAUUAAAAUAAAUAUAGACUGUACAACAUUAAACAUUUCUACAAGUCGGGCAAACUUUUUCCCUGUCCUCCGUACAGUCGCAUGUCGGUGUACAAAGACGCGUGUUAUUUUAAUGCGCGCCAUUUUAAUUAACUUUAUCAACGUAAUAAAAUGGUUGUAGUAAAUUCGUGUGGAAAUAAAAAAACACAGAGGUGCCCCC
Molecule: long non-coding RNA, 15796 nt
Organism: Onychostoma macrolepis
Lineage: Eukaryota; Metazoa; Chordata; Actinopteri; Cypriniformes; Cyprinidae
Exons: 3
Source: RefSeq, a predicted model, not a curated record